Molecule: ribosomal RNA, 286 nt
Filed under: Sphingomonas sp. BK036
Lineage: Bacteria; Pseudomonadati; Pseudomonadota; Alphaproteobacteria; Sphingomonadales; Sphingomonadaceae
Source: RNAcentral
ACAACACUGGGGCAACCCAGCACGUCAGACGAUAGUGCAGAUGAUUAGCACGACGCCAGAUUGCCAAUCCCCUCGCCGUCGAGGGAUUGGUCGAACACCACUACAACCUUGCACGGUAUCGAUUUUAAACCCCAGAUAUUCACGUACGCGCAUGUCGCACCGGCUCCAUUGCCUGGUGGCUAUAGCGUCGGUGUCCCACCCGAUCCCAUUCCGAACUCGGCCGUGAAACCCGACUGCGCCAAUGGUACUAUCGCUCAAGCGAUGGAAGAGUAGGUCGUCGCCAGGC